This 404-nucleotide ribosomal RNA is filed under the name uncultured bacterium. RNAcentral describes it as "bacterial SSU rRNA". It matches the Rfam family "Bacterial small subunit ribosomal RNA", at positions 355 to 776 of the family's 1533-position model. The record is from RNAcentral.
UGGGGAAUAUUGGACAAUGGGGGAAACCCUGAUCCAGCAAUGCCGCGUGAGUGAUGAAGGCCCUAGGGUUGUAAAACUCUUUCAGAAGUGAAGAUGAUGACUGUAACUUCAGAAGAAGCUCCGGCUAACUCCGUGCCAGCAGCCGCGGUAAUACGGAGGGAGCUAGCGUUGUUCGGAAUUACUGGGCGUAAAGGGCGUGUAGGCUGUUAGGUAAGUCAGAGGUGAAAUCCCUAAGCUCAACUUAGGAACUGCCUUUGAUACUAUCUUACUAGAGAUCGAGAGAAGUUGGCGGAAUUCCAAGUGUAGAGGUGAAAUUCGUAGAUAUUUGGAAGAACACCAGUGGCGAAAGCGGCCAACUGGCUCGUAUCUGACGCUGAGACGCGAAAGCGUGGGUAGCAAACAGG